GACGAACGCUGGCGGCGUGCUUAACACAUGCAAGUCGAACGGAGUGGCGAACGGGUGAGUAACGCGUAGGCAACUUGCCCUUCGGAGGGGAACAACAGGUGGAAACGUAUGCUAUUCCCCCAUACGGAAGGAGGGGAUUGCGUCGGAUUGGCUAGUUGGAGGGGUAACGGCCCACCAAGGCGACGAUCCGUAAAUGGUCUGAGAGGAUGAUCAGUCACACUGGAACUGAGAAACGGUCCAGAGUACUACGGGAGGCAGCAGUGGGGAAUAUUGGACAAUGGGCGAAAGCCUGAUCCAGCCAUGCCGCGUGGGGGAUGAAGGCUUUCGGGUUGUAAACCUCGUUCGCUAUCGAACGGGUAGGUGGAGAAGAAGCGCCGGCUAACUACGUGCCAGCAGCCGCGGUAAUAC
Molecule: ribosomal RNA, 408 nt
Filed under: uncultured bacterium
Lineage: Bacteria
Description: partial 16S ribosomal RNA
Rfam family: Bacterial small subunit ribosomal RNA
Source: RNAcentral